UAUAAUAUACUAGUGCUUGUCCUAGAGCCGCCAUUGCUGCUCUACAUUUCUUCUCCCGGCGAAAUCUGAUUUGUAAGUUCCCCUUUUCAUCUGUCUUUAUAUUUCCUAUUAAUCUCUUAUCCUCACUUUGAAUUGUCAAUUUCAGAAACUGUGAAAUGGGUUGUAAUUUUCUGUGUGUUUGCUCUCACUGCAUAAAUGAAACAUGAACUCCAAAACUUGAUACUAUCUUGUGAAUUUUACAAUCUAAUAUGCUCUGUUGUUCGCUUUCUCGUGAUAAUGGCUGGCAGUUAUGAUCUCUCUUCUUUCUUUUUCCGGAAAUUAGUAAUAUUUUCUACAUAUAUUCUCUUAGAAGAAGGAAAAGAGAGAAAAGAAAAGCCGCAAAUAUGACUUUUUCUUACAAUGGCGUGCCCCGGCCAGCUUGCGUUAGCACAGAGGCAAAGCCAGGAUUUCAAACUUAUGAAUUCUAAAUAAAUUAUUUUUACAUAUUCGGUAGAUUUUUGUAAGACAAAUACAGAGUUCGAACCAAAGCAACUGGUUUCAGUCGAACCCGCUCCCUGCAAUCUAGCCCCGCCCCUGGUCACACAUAGACUAUUACACUGCUAUCUCCGACAAGAAUAGGCGCUGAUAAAAUAUGAAAUACUUAAGUAAAAUAUGAAAUACUUAAGACUUAGUUUUGAGUUUUCGGCUCUUCUGUGAGAGUCAUAAAUUUUAUUAUUAGAGUAAUUAUUCAGCUACAAAGAUGAAUAGAUACUAUAUUACAUUGAUGAAUAUCUAAUAUAGAUAUGUGUACUUUUCUUUUAGCAAAUUUUGGGGUACUUUGAAGAAUCUGAACAAAGUACAUAUGCACGACGUUUUGACACGGUAAAUGAUCCAUGUAAUAUAACUAGUUAUUGGAGUGUGAUUGGAUCGUCUGUCCAGUGUUAUAAAGGAUAAACAUAUCACUGUAGAACAUCAUCCUUAUUUCCCUACUCAAUAAGUUAAAUGGGGUACUGCAUCUGAAACUACUAAUUUGGUGGAGAGUGCAUCAUCUUUUGCUCGUCAUAGACUUGAUAUUCGGAGAACCAGGAGAUAUUUGGAUCUAUAUUUUGAAGAGUUAAUCCUUAUAUGUGCCCAUGUCAAUUAAAAAACCUUGAUUUUGUUUAUUCAUCUAUUAACUGCUUCUCAAUUAAGGGAAUAUUUUGUCAAGACAUAAGUGUGAAAGUGAAUUUAUUUCCUAAAUUUCGAACCAUUAUGUACUCGUUAGAUUGUUUGGAUACAACUAUACAUCACACACAUGAUUUUUUAUAUUCACAUGUCAUUCCUCUGUGAAGAGCUAGUUGGAUCUGGUGUCUGCGCCAAGAACUACAGAAAGACUAUUCAGUUCUAGGAAUUAUAAGAAAAACGGAUGCUGAUUAAAUUGAUCCAAGAAUAGAUCUCAUUAUCGGUAUCCUUCUUUAUAUGAUGAAUCCUCAAUAGAGCUACUUCCAUCUUUUACUUCGGAACUUUUGAUUCUCCACAAAUCUGAAAGCAACAAUAUAGGUGGAAGACCUCAUUCUUCGUUAUGCUUGUUGCUAUCCUUCUAGUUUCUCAUCUUCAAUUUCUCACAUCUUAAUCACAUAUUCGGUUCUUGAGGGUUGUUACCUAGUAGUCGAUGAAGUGGGAGGACAAUCGUGAAGUCUCAAGUUCAAAUCUCUAGAGAAGCAAAGAACACACCAGGUGAUUUCUUCAUAUAUGCCUAACCCUUGGUGGGAAGAGUUACUUGUGCUGGUGGGAAGUAGCAGAUACCUGGUGAAAUAGUCGAUUUGCGCAUAAGCUGGACCGGGCAACAUUGUCAUCAAAAAAGAAAAGUUUCCAACUUAUAGUCUUGUAGCCCCUUUCUCUAUGUUCCAGAAACUUUUCCUUUAGCUACUUUUAUUUGGCAGGUAAUGGCAGUAUUUGGUUAGCGAAGUAUUUUAUUUUGCAUCUUUUGUGAACAUGCUCAUUCUUUACCACAACUUGAAGAGAUUAAAGUGAGUAUUGUAUGAUUUUUUUGUCUUUGUUUUUCCCAAGAUUAUUUUGUAAAUGACAUGGAAGCAUAAAAAAAUGUGUACAUUCAAAAGAGAAGAUAGUGGAGAGAAGGAAGGUGUUGCAUCAACUCUCUCACCAACACUAGAUCUUGCAAACAAUUUUCCUCCUAGAAAGCCAGAGCAGAUUAACUUACUUUAAGUUUGCAAACAAUGUUCGCUCUCACUGCAUGAAUGAACCAUAGACUCCAAAAUUUGACACUAUUUUGUGAAUAUCACAAUCUAAUAUGCUCUAUUAUGUGCUUUCUCAUGAUAAUAGCUGCAAGGUAGUAAAUUUUUUCCCAGGAAAGUAUUUAUCUUUCUACAUAUAUUUCUUUUAGAAGAAGGAAAAAGUAGAAAAAGGCCACAAUUAUGACUUUUAAAUAAUGGUGUGUCCCGGACAGCUUGCACCACACAUAACUAUUACACUGCUAGCUCCCACAAGUGUAGGUGUCGAAAAUAUGAAAAUUUUCUGACUUUGUUACAAUUUUUCAGUUCUUUUAUGAGAGUCUUAGAAUUUGUUAUUAGGGUAAUCAUUCAGCUACAAAGAUGAAUAGUUACUAUAUUACAUUGAUGGGUAUCCAUAGAGGUAUGUGUACUUUUACUUUUGCCAAUUUUGGGGUACUUUAAAGAUUCUGAACAAAGUACCUAUACAUGCCUCUUUGACACAGUAAACGAUCCAUGUAACGUAACUAGUUACAGAAGUCUGAUUGGAUCGUAUGUCCAGUUCUUCAAAGGAUAAUUAUUUCAUGAUAGAACAUAAUGGAUAUUUCCAUUAGUCAAUAAGUUAAAUUGGUCACUGGAUCUGAAUCUACUAAUUUACUGGAGAGUGUCAUAUUUUGUUCUUCAUAGACUUGAUUUUCAGAAAAGCAGAAAAUAUUUGGAUUUAUAUUUUCAAGAUUAAUUAAUCCUCAUAUGUGCCAGUGUCAGUUACAAACCUUGAUUUUGGUUUUCAUCUAUCGAUAUUUGGAUUUAUAUUUUCAAGAGUCCUUAUAUGUGCCAAUGUCAAUUAAAAACCUUGAUUUUGUUUUUCAUCUAUCAACCUUAAUUGUUAGAUUUCGAUACAACUAUAUAUGCCACAUGAUGUUUUGUAGUCAUGUGGUUCAUAUACGAAUAACUAGUUGGAUCUGGUGUCAAUGCCAAGAACGACAGAAACACUAUUCGGUUCUGGGAAUUUUAAGAAAAAAAUGGAUGUGGAAUAAAUUGAUCCGAGAAUACAUCCAUUUAUCGGUAUCCUUCUUUAUAUGAUGAAUCCUCAAUAGAGCUACUGCCAUCUUUUACUCCGGAACUUUUGAUUCUUCACUAUUCUGAAAGCAAUUAUAUAGGUGGAAGACCUCAUUCUUAGUUAUGCUCAUUGCUCUCCUUCUAGUUUCACAUGUUCUUCUGUUUUUCACAUCUUAAACUCACAUUCAGUUUUUGAGGGUUCCACCAUGCACCCAAGGGUAUUACCUAGUGGUCAAUGACGGGGGAGGACAAUCGUGAGGUCUCAAGUUCAAAACCCAGUAGAAGCAAAGAAACACUAGGUGAUUCCUUCACAUCAGCCUAACCCUUGGUGGGAAGAGUUACCCAAUAUUUGGAGGGCUGCAUUAACUCUUUAUUCAUAUUAGUAUUUUCCACUCUCUCUCUCCUCUCUCUCACGCAACAGUAACAUCCACCAAGCCCUCCCCAGCCCCCNNNNNNNNNNNNNNNNNNNNNNNNNNNNNNNNNNNNNNNNNNNNNNNNNNNNNNNNNNNNNNNNNNNNNNNNNNNNNNNNNNNNNNNNNNNNNNNNNNCCCCCCAGACCCCCCUAAGUAAGUUCUCUCUCUUCUGUCUCUCUCCUCUCUCUCUCCUCUAUCUUCAUUACCCAGCCCUCACCCCCUACCCCCUGCCAACCCUAACUCCGGCGACCCGCCAGUACGGUACCUCUCCCCUCUUUCUCCUCUCUCCACACAUUCUCUUCUCUAUUCCCCUUCUCUCACGCCCUUGCCCCCUACCCCACCCCUUUUUUUGUGACUUUCAGGCAACCCCUCUCCUUUCCCGAGCUAGGUAUCCCCCCUCACCUUUUUUGGGGUUUGUUGUGCGCUUGAUUUUCAGGUACAAGCCGCGGCAGACAAGGCGAGCUUGCGGCAUUUUGACGCGAAGAGCAAAGCAACACCGGACGAAAUGUGCAAAAGCUAGCGGUAGUUGAUAUCGGGCGAAUCAAAGCAUACUUCCAGGUUUUUCCAUCAGUAGUUGGUACCUCCCGACCUCCUUUUUUACUCUGUACACUCUUUACAUUUUCUAUCUAAGCACCAUGUGUGUGGUUUACUUUGUUGAUUCCUAGCUUGCAUCCUUUUGCAUAUUCCGC
This 4347-nucleotide long non-coding RNA is filed under the name Nicotiana benthamiana. RNAcentral describes it as "long non-coding RNA (NBEN_LNC027580)". The record is from RNAcentral. Lineage: Eukaryota; Viridiplantae; Streptophyta; Magnoliopsida; Solanales; Solanaceae.